This is a long non-coding RNA of Coffea eugenioides, 308 nucleotides long. RefSeq lists it as uncharacterized. The record is from RefSeq and is a predicted model, not a curated record. The transcript is spliced from 3 exons. NCBI's taxonomy places the organism in Eukaryota, Viridiplantae, Streptophyta, Magnoliopsida, Gentianales, Rubiaceae.
CUCAGAUGCAGCAUGGAUUGCGGUUUGGCGAUUAUGCUCGUUACCGGAGGUACUGUACUGCUCGGCUCAGGAGAUUGUACAAGUCGUUGAAAUUCACGCAUGGCCGUGGUAAAUAUAGUAAAAGGGCGAUUACAGCUUCUAUGGUCACUGAAGUGAGGUAUCUUCAUGUGGUUCUUUAUACAGCAGAAAGAGCUUGGAGCCAUACUAUGGAAAAGAAAACGCUGCCAGAUGGUCCAAAUGCACGUCAGCGUGGCUAUCUGAUUGGUAGGCUGCGAAAAGCAGUCAAAUGGGCUACUUUGUUUCAAGAC